AGAAUGUACACCUGGCCAGACAAAGAAACAAGACUGCAACACGUGUACUUGCACCCCCACUGGAGUCUGGGCCUGCACACGCAAGGGCUGCCAGCCCGUUAAGAGACGGGUUCCUUCCGAAUCCAGGCUGUUGCUGAAGAAUAUCAGCAGUUAGUAACACCUGUAGUGGCACCAGCGAAGUAUGCCUUCUACUGUUCUCGAGACCAUUUCAGCAUGUCAUGCAGCUUCUGUGAAGUCCAUCUCCACCGAAAACAUUUACUUUAAUUUGAAAUUUUUCUGUUUCAUUUUGUAAAUAACAAAAAAAUUCAUAAGCA
Molecule: long non-coding RNA, 314 nt
Organism: Schistocerca piceifrons (Central American locust)
Lineage: Eukaryota; Metazoa; Arthropoda; Insecta; Orthoptera; Acrididae
Exons: 2
Source: RefSeq, a predicted model, not a curated record